CAUGGAGGGUGAGAAUCCCGUCCGGCUGACCUUCAGGACGUUUUACGAUACGCUCUCAAAGAGUCGAGUUGUUUGGGAUUGCAGCUCGAAAUGGGAGGUAAAUUUCUCCUAAGGCUAAAUACCGGCGAGAGACCGAUAGCGAACAAGUACCGUGAGGGAAAGAUGAAAAGAAUUUUGAAAAGAAAGUCAAACAGUACGUGAAAUUGUUGAAAGGGAAACGAUUGAAGCCAGUCGUACCGACGGGAAUUCAACUUCUCGAGUGCUAAUCGUGGGUGACGUUGAGCCUCACGGCCUUCGUUGCUUGUGUUGUUGGUGCUUUUGGGGUGUACUUUUCCGUAUUGGUAGGUCAGCAUCGAUUUCGAUCGUCAUAAAAUGAUCGGGGGAAUGUAGCUUCGGUCUCGUAUCGGAGUGUUAUAGACCUUGGUAGAUGUGACGAUUGGGAUCGAGGAUUGCAACGAAUACCCUUUGGGCUAUCCGUCUGUCCUCUGAAAGUCGCUCGGGUGUCGAAAGCGUGCUUAUGGCUAUUCGAGUUGGCGGUCAACAGGUUAGAACGUGAUUAUAUUCGUUAAGGAUGUUGACGUAAUGG
This 586-nucleotide ribosomal RNA is filed under the name uncultured Glomus. Its description in RNAcentral is "eukaryotic LSU rRNA". It matches the Rfam family "Eukaryotic large subunit ribosomal RNA", at positions 204 to 637 of the family's 3401-position model. The record is from RNAcentral. Lineage: Eukaryota; Fungi; Glomeromycota; Glomeromycetes; Glomerales; Glomeraceae.